Molecule: non-coding RNA, 511 nt
Organism: Pogona vitticeps (central bearded dragon)
Lineage: Eukaryota; Metazoa; Chordata; Lepidosauria; Squamata; Agamidae
Source: RefSeq, a predicted model, not a curated record
ACCUCAGAAGUUUCUCUUCCACCCUCAGAACCUGAGUGCUUCUUGAUAGCAGAAGCAAAUGAACUAUUAGAACAGAUGUCCCUGUCGCACCCGACCAAGGAUGCUUUCCUGCGUGACGGUGACAACUGUCCGGCUGGUGAUGGAACCCCGGAGUACAAAGACCACCUUUAUCAGAAGACGACAUGGCCCCCUCCUCCGAACCAGGGCAGUGGCAACAAUACACAAUUCCCAAACGCCUGCAGGGAUCUUUCUGAGAAGCCAGCGUAAGUCCCAAGCGGCAGCACCCUCCUUUUCUGGACCUUGAACAUUCGAAAUCUGGACCGUUCUGCUUUGGAGAAGGGAGAGUAUGAGAACUCCGCACACCGACACACAUAUUUAUCUUUGGACUGAUUUUUUUUUUCUCCACCCGUUCAAGCAACAAGCCACCUCUGCGUUGCUCCAUGCAAAGCUGUUCUCCCUCAUAUUUCACCUUUAGAUGGAAAUAAAUAAAUAAAUAAACAUUUGAGGCAAG